GACGAACGCUGGCGGCGUGCUUAACACAUGCAAGUCGAACGGAAAGGCCCUGCUUUUGUGGGGUGCUCGAUUGGCGAACGGGUGAGUAACACGUGAGUAACCUGCCCUUGACUUUGGGAUAACUUCAGGAAACUGGGGCUAAUACCGUAUAGGAGCUCCUGCUGCAUGGUGGGGGUUGGAAAGUUUCGGCGGUUGGGGAUGGAUUCGCGGCUUAUCAGCUUGUUAGUGGGGUAGUGGCUUACCAAGGCUUUGACGGGUAGCCGGCCUGAGAGGGUGACCGGCGACAUUGGGACUGAGAGACGGCCCAGACUCCUACGGGAGGCAGCAGUGGGGAAUAUUGCACAAUGGGCGGAAGCCUGAUGCAGAAACGCCGCGUGCGGGAUGACGGCCUUCGGGUGGUAAACCGCUUUCGCCUGUGACGAAGCGUGAGUGACGGUAAUGGGUAAAGAAGCAACGGCUAACUACGUG
Molecule: ribosomal RNA, 468 nt
Filed under: uncultured bacterium
Lineage: Bacteria
Description: partial 16S ribosomal RNA
Rfam family: Bacterial small subunit ribosomal RNA
Source: RNAcentral